RNAcentral lists this ribosomal RNA (253 nucleotides) under uncultured bacterium. RNAcentral's name for it is "partial 16S ribosomal RNA". It matches the Rfam family "Bacterial small subunit ribosomal RNA", at positions 524 to 776 of the family's 1533-position model. The record is from RNAcentral.
UACGUAGGGCGCAAGCGUUGUCCGGAAUCAUUGGGCGUAAAGAGCUCGUAGGCGGCCUGUCGCGUCCGCUGUGAAAUCCCGGGGCUUAACCCCGGGCGUGCAGUGGAUACGGGCUGGCUGGAGGCAGGCAGGGGAGAACGGAAUUCCUGGUGUAGCGGUGAAAUGCGUAGAUAUCAGGAGGAACACCUGUGGCGAAAGCGGCGCACUGGACCACAACUGACGCUGAGGCGCGAAAGCUAGGGGAGCAAACAGG